UUAGGGAAGGCAGAAAGUAGGUCAGGGACGGAGGUGCCUGUUUACCCGCGCCGGACUUGCCGCCGCCGCCGCCGCCGCGGGAACCGAGUGCUGGUGCGGGCGCGGGCGCUCGCGGCGAGCCACGCCCAUGACUGAUGUCCUGCCGGCUGCUCGGUGGCUGGUGAGCAAAUGGAUGCCAGUGAUGAACGAAGCAGAGAGACUGACUCUUGCCAGCUAUGCCAGCUAGUCCAUAAGGAGCCAUUGGACAAGAGAUUUCUCUAGGUGGUGGUGGCUACAGUGUACACUUUUGGAACAAAACUUAAGGUUUCAAAUGUGGAACCCUAGGCCUUCAUUGAACAAGAUGCAGAUGUUUUCCAGAACUUUCUUCAACCUCAGGCAGUAAGUUUUUUGGUGAAUAGUGUUUAGAACCAGAGUCUCUGCCCUCACGCUGCAGUGCGUGAACACAAACCACAGACAGAAAGCACUAGAAAGAAGGGGCCAGGUGACAGGUCUUCAGUCAGCAGGCCUUGAACAUGACUUAUCUAUCUUCCAAGCUACCCUGGGGCUCCUUCUCUGUGCCUCUUUUGAACACAGAAACCUUGUGAGGCUGGGGCUGCCUUAGCUUCUUCCCAGAGAGGAGAUGGCAGGGAUGGAGGGAUACAGCCGACAGCACACAUCAGUGUUUUCUCACAUCAGGCUCUGGUCUGUAAAGAACAAGGCAGGGAACUCCGUUUUUAGCUUCAUGAUGCUGUUAUUCU
RNAcentral lists this long non-coding RNA (737 nucleotides) under Cricetulus griseus (Chinese hamster). RNAcentral's name for it is "lncRNA (ENSCGRG00015033682.1)". The record is from RNAcentral. Lineage: Eukaryota; Metazoa; Chordata; Mammalia; Rodentia; Cricetidae.